ACUUGCAAGCUGGCGCACGUGUUACAGCUGAGUUACGUCCCGCCGCCAGCACCGCUGAGUACCUGUCACCCUCCCGGCCCGGGACGCGCCUGGCUCACAGAGCACUCGCAGUCCGCGAGGUUGUUAAUCCCCCGUAAUUAACUCAUGGGAGGCCUGAUUUUCUCAGACUUCAGGAUUCAACAGAGCCUGUUCCCUGUCUCACCCGAGGUGCUCAGCACCAUGCAAGUCUGCAUCCCAAGAGGGGACUUUCCGUGAGGUUUACUCAAAGGAAGCUUGCCGACGUGCGCCCGCUCCCACUUCUCGUCUUUCCACGUACCUGUCUGUCACCAAAUCUUCAGCUUUGUAGAUUUUGAAUAAUCAGUAACAUUUUUUUUCCCUCCAAAGUGCAGGGGAAGGGGUGCCCAUGUUCUUACACUAUAUUUUGCUAAUCUUUAUCUUACAUACGAUAACAUAAUGUUAUGUUAAAGCUCUCUUUAAGUCCAGAUAAAGCAACACCUUUACGCAGGUUAAAUGAUACGUUAUAUUUGGUGUAGUUAUGCUGUGCGCUUUCUUCAGCAGUAGCUAAGCGAGACAUUCCUGCCCCUUUUCCACCCCCUCCCCGUCACCCUUUCCUGCCAUGGCCAGACUUCACCACUCUAAUUCAUAUAGAUUAAAAUGUCUAUAAGAUUGUGUUGUAACCCAGAUCAUCCAAAUUACCCUUUAAAGCAAAUUUCUUCCCUGAAGGAAACGUAUCAUCAAACUAUGCCCUGCGAAUCCCCCAACGCUGCUAACCGUCCAUCUGUGCAAGGAGGCCCCAGUCCGUACCGAGGUAGGAGAUGGCUGUUUUCUGCAGCUGAAGUUAAUGUCUUUACAGAGAAUCAGCAUGAGCUCUGUGCACUACUCAAUAACUGCUGAACCCUGAUGAUAUUAGAUUUCUUCGCUCUUAUUUUAACCAGUUAAUUAUCAUGACCGAUUUCCCUCCCGCUUCGUUGUGUGUUUAAGAGGCGCAGGAAGUAAAGGUAUCGAGAAUUCCUGCAGUUACACCACAGGCUUCUGCUAGUGAACUGCUUAAAUCUGGGCUUUAUGUCUACAUUACAUUAACAAACCUCUCGUUUGGAUACAUUGCCCUUUCCCAGGAUCUCACGUGCGGUUUUCCAUAUGCCUGAUCCACAUUCGCUGAAAUCAAAAGAAAAACUCCGGUUGGCCUCAAUGACUUUGAGGCUGUGCCCUGUGCAGGCUGAGAGAUGCUGAAAAAAUGGAAUAAUCAUUACACUAGAGAUCUAAAAGG
Grus americana (Whooping crane) is the source of this 1267-nucleotide long non-coding RNA. RefSeq lists it as uncharacterized. The transcript has 3 exons. NCBI's taxonomy places the organism in Eukaryota, Metazoa, Chordata, Aves, Gruiformes, Gruidae. The record is from RefSeq and is a predicted model, not a curated record.